UGUUAAAAAUUCGAUCCACUUUUACUGUUAAAAAUUAGAAAAGCUAAUAGAAAAACUAAAUAAUGACACGAGAUAUGUUAUGUGUAUCUUAUGCUGAUAUACACUUACCAAUUUUUAAUAGUAGAAAUGGAUAAAAUUUUUAACA
This is a non-coding RNA of Gossypium arboreum, 145 nucleotides long. NCBI's taxonomy places the organism in Eukaryota, Viridiplantae, Streptophyta, Magnoliopsida, Malvales, Malvaceae. The record is from Rfam.